GACGAACGCUGGCGGCGUGCUUAACACAUGCAAGUCGAACGGAAAGGCCCUGCUUUUGUGGGGUGCUCGAGUGGCGAACGGGUGAGUAACACGUGAGUAACCUGCCCUUGACUUUGGGAUAACUUCAGGAAACUGGGGCUAAUAACGGAUAGGAGCUCCUGCUGCAUGGUGGGGGUUGGAAAGGUUCGGCGGUUGGGGAUGGACUCGCGGCUUAUCAGCUUGUUGGUGGGGUAGUGGCUUACCAAGGCUUUGACGGGUAGCCGGCCUGAGAGGGUGACCGGCCACAUUGGGACUGAGAUACGGCCCAGACUCCUACGGGAGGCAGCAGUGGGGAAUAUUGCACAAUGGGCGGAAGCCUGAUGCAGCAACGCCGCGUGCGGGAUGACGGCCUUCGGGUUGUAAACCGCUUUCGCCUGUGACGAAGCGUGAGUGACGGUAAUGGGUAAAGAAGCACCGGCUAACUACGUG
Molecule: ribosomal RNA, 468 nt
Filed under: uncultured bacterium
Lineage: Bacteria
Description: partial 16S ribosomal RNA
Rfam family: Bacterial small subunit ribosomal RNA
Source: RNAcentral